Molecule: non-coding RNA, 1308 nt
Organism: Odocoileus virginianus texanus
Lineage: Eukaryota; Metazoa; Chordata; Mammalia; Artiodactyla; Cervidae
Source: RefSeq, a predicted model, not a curated record
GCCAAGGGGGUCCCCAGGGGACCCUCACCACCGGCCCCUGAGCCUGGAGAACUUCAACCUUCGGUGAAAAGGCAGGGGUUUCUGCCCCUGACCUACUGCCUCAGUAAUUUUGGGCUGGAGGUGGCCAAGCUGUCCAUUCCCAACCUCAUCCUCACACUUGACCCUGGAGCCGAGAUGCCGGGCUCUGUCUAGGGUUGUGGGCACCUCUGUCUGGGCUUGACCAGCGCCCACCCCCGCCCCCGCCCCCGGCUGACCCCGUUGGCUGCAGAAGGGCCACAGUAGAUGCACUGUCCCGGAGCAAAGCACCCCCUGGGUGACGGGGACGCUUCUUCCAAAACUCCAGCUGACCACAGGUGGACAGGCAUGCGAGAGCCUGGGGUCACAGCUGGGAGCCCCAGGGGAUGAGGGGUCUGGUACCUGCCUCCAGGGCCCCUGCACACAGUGCCCGCCCAGGGGUAGGCCUGAGAGCAGGAACCUCCACCAGAAGGUACUUCCAGGGAGGCAGGCGGCUCCAACCGCUGUCCAUGGUGCUGCCCAGAGCCCAGAGGUGCCAAGGAGAUCCAGGAUGGAAAAUCAGGCACCCAACCAGGGUCUGACCCCAAGACGCAGGGUCUGACCCCACGACCCAGCCCACAGGCAGCAGAGGCCUCAGAGACGCCGGAGCUUCGAUCCCUGGAGACUAAAAGCAGAGCUCAACCGCUGCAAGAAGAGCACGAGGCCUGCAUCCCACUCUCCCCCUCAGGGGCCAGGCCCGGGGAUCCCGGCAGACUGAGCUCAGCUGGCAGAGCGGCCCACCCACGUGCUCCUCCUCUGCAGGGCCGGGCUCGGGGGUCCCGGACACCACGGCUCCCGAUCACAGCAGGCACCGCCAGGCUGCAGGUGUGUCUUCACAUGCCCUGGGAAGUGCGCUCUGGUUAAGAUGAUCGUCAUCACGGCCUCCUGCACAGAACACACUUCUCCAGAAACAUGUAUGUGCAGCCACGGCUAGCGCACCGCGGACCCCAGCCCCUCACUCAUGGGACUUUGGGGGAUGGUGAGCUCAGUCACCCACAGGCGGUGCCACCAGGGCUACCCAGAGGCCAGGGAGCUUCCGGAGGCUCCAAACUUCUGUUUCAAGGCAGGAAAACAGCAGGGAGUUGUGUGGGAGCGGAUGUGACCCUGGACACCACUCAGGUGCCUAGAGCCGGGCCAGAGGCGGGGGAGACAGCACCAGGAAGAAGAUACAAACAGGCAUCCAGUAAACACAUCCAGAACAAAGCAAUUUCUGACACGUGAUCCACAGCUGCAGCCACAAGACGGCCCACUGCC